GACGAACGCUGGCGGCGUGCUUAACACAUGCAAGUCGAACGGAAAGGCCCUGCUUUUGUGGGGUGCUCGAGUGGCGAACGGGUGAGUAACACGUGAGUAACCUGCCCUUGACUUUGGGAUAACUUCAGGAAACUGGAGCUAAUACCGGAUAGGAGCUCCUGCUGCAUGGUGGGGGUUGGAAAGUUUCGGCGGUUGGGGAUGGACUCGCGGCUUAUCAGCUUGCUGGUGGGGUAGUGGCUUACCAAGGCUUUGACGGGUAGCCGGCCUGGGAGGGUGACCGGCCACAUUGGGACUGAGAGACGGCCCAGACUCCUACGGGAGGCAGCAGUGGGGAAUAUUGCACAAUGGGCGGACGCCUGAUGCAGCAACGCCGCGUGCGGGAUGACGGCCUUCGGGUUGUAAACCGCUUUCGCCUGUGACGAAGCGUGAGUGACGGUAAUGGGUAAAGAAGCACCGGCUAACUACGUG
Molecule: ribosomal RNA, 468 nt
Filed under: uncultured bacterium
Lineage: Bacteria
Description: partial 16S ribosomal RNA
Rfam family: Bacterial small subunit ribosomal RNA
Source: RNAcentral